AACGAACGCUGGCGGCAUGCCUAACACAUGCAAGUCGAACGGGAUCCUAGCUUGCUAGGUGAGAGUGGCGGACGGGUGAGUAACACGUGGGAAUCUGCCUUUUGGUUCGGGAUAACCGCGGGAAACUGCGGCUAAUACCGAAUGCCCUCGAGAGAGGAAAGAUUUAUCGCCAGAAGAGGAGCCCGCGUCCGAUUAGGUAGUUGGUGGGGUAAAGCCUACCAAGCCGACGAUCGGUAGCUGGUCUGAGAGGAUGAUCAGCCACACUGGGACUGAGAUACGGCCCAGACUCCUACGGGAGGCAGCAGUGGGGAAUAUUGGACAAUGGGGGCAACCCUGAUCCAGCAAUGCCGCGUGAGUGAUGAAGGCCUUAGGGUUGUAAAGCUCUUUUGCCAGGGAGAUGAUGACUGUACCUGGAGAAUAAGCCCCGGCUAACUUCGUGCCAGCAGCCACGGUAAU
Molecule: ribosomal RNA, 456 nt
Filed under: uncultured bacterium
Lineage: Bacteria
Description: bacterial SSU rRNA
Rfam family: Bacterial small subunit ribosomal RNA
Source: RNAcentral